Herpailurus yagouaroundi (jaguarundi) is the source of this 636-nucleotide long non-coding RNA. RefSeq lists it as uncharacterized. The transcript is spliced from 2 exons. The record is from RefSeq and is a predicted model, not a curated record. NCBI's taxonomy places the organism in Eukaryota, Metazoa, Chordata, Mammalia, Carnivora, Felidae.
GAACCCCCAGGACCCGGGAAUGACCUCUAGUGGUUGAGAAUGGGUCACCUCUGACAGCUAGUGAGAAAACAGGACCUCCCUCAUACAGGCAAGGAAGUGAGUUCUGCUAACACCCUGAGGGAGCCUUGGAAGCAGAUCUUUCCUGAGUUGAACUUCCAGAUGAAAACACACGGGCCGACAUCUUGACUUCAAUCAAGUGAGACCUUAGGCCGAGAACCCAAUGAAAACGUACCUGACUCCUGCCCUUCAAACUGUUAAUUUGGUGCGAACUUACUUUGUUCAUGUGGACUUUACAUAUCAGAUACUGGAUACACAUCGCAAUAGCAGGACCCCGUAAAUACAGUCUUCUGGAUUUUCACCACAGCAUGAUGGAUUCUCAGCUUCAUAAACUGUAUAACUCGUGUGUAUAAACUUCCCUAAUUACUAAUACCUGGCUCUGUUUUAAUUCUGCUUCCAUAUGUUCUUGACUUCUCUGCAGAUAUAACAGUAAGUUUCAUGUCUCAUUGCUCAAUUAGUUGCUGUUGUUAGCUUAAUAAGUGAAAGGCUUUCUGGUGUCAUUGACCUGAUUUUUAGGAUUGCAAGAGGCUGUAUACAUCAUUUGUAUUUAUUGCCAAAUAAACCUUUGUAAGUGUAUGC